UGGGAUAUACAUAUAUGUUUC
RNAcentral lists this non-coding RNA (21 nucleotides) under Arabidopsis thaliana (thale cress). The record is from RNAcentral. Lineage: Eukaryota; Viridiplantae; Streptophyta; Magnoliopsida; Brassicales; Brassicaceae.